RNAcentral lists this transfer RNA (93 nucleotides) under Pallidibacillus pasinlerensis. RNAcentral describes it as "tRNA-Ser". It matches the Rfam family "tRNA". From Rfam's summary of the family: Transfer RNA (tRNA) molecules are approximately 80 nucleotides in length. Lineage: Bacteria; Bacillati; Bacillota; Bacilli; Caryophanales; Bacillaceae. The record is from RNAcentral.
GGAGGAGUACCCAAGUCCGGCUGAAGGGAUCGGUCUUGAAAACCGACAGGCGGGUCAAACCGCGCGGGGGUUCGAAUCCCUCCUCCUCCACCA